GAGCGGUAACAGGUGUAGCAAUACAUGCUGACGAGCGGCGAACGGGUGAGUAAUGCUUCGGAAUCUGCCCAAUGGUGGGGAAUAACCAGCCGAAAGGUUGGCUAAUACCGCAUAAGUCCUACGGGGGAAAGCAGGGGAUCGCAAGACCUUGCGCCGAUGGAUGAGCCGAAGUCGGAUUAGCUAGUUGGUAGGGUAACGGCCUACCAAGGCGACGAUCCGUAGCUGGUCUGAGAGGACGACCAGCCACACUGGGACUGAGACACGGCCCAGACUCCUACGGGAGGCAGCAGUGGGGAAUAUUGGACAAUGGGGGAAACCCUGAUCCAGCGACGCCGCGUGUGUGAAGAAGGCCUGCGGGUUGUAAAGCACUUUUAGUGGGGAUGAAAAGCUCAGGGAUAACACCUCUGGGUCUUGACCUAACCCACAGAAAAAGCACCGGCUAACUCUGUG
Molecule: ribosomal RNA, 450 nt
Filed under: uncultured bacterium
Lineage: Bacteria
Description: bacterial SSU rRNA
Rfam family: Bacterial small subunit ribosomal RNA
Source: RNAcentral